This 253-nucleotide ribosomal RNA is filed under the name uncultured bacterium. RNAcentral's name for it is "partial 16S ribosomal RNA". It matches the Rfam family "Bacterial small subunit ribosomal RNA", at positions 524 to 776 of the family's 1533-position model. The record is from RNAcentral.
UACAGAGGUCCCAAGCGUUGUUCGGAUUCACUGGGCGUAAAGGGUGCGUAGGCGGUCGAGUAAGUCUGACGUGAAAUCUCCGGGCCUAACCCGGAAACUGCGUUGGAAACUACUUGGCUAGAGGAAUGGAGGGGAGACUGGAAUACUUGGUGUAGCAGUGAAAUGCGUAGAUAUCAAGUGGAACACCAGUGGCGAAGGCGGGUCUCUGGGCAGUAACUGACGCUGAGGAGCGAAAGCGUGGGGAGCGAACAGG